RNAcentral lists this ribosomal RNA (444 nucleotides) under uncultured bacterium. Its description in RNAcentral is "bacterial SSU rRNA". It matches the Rfam family "Bacterial small subunit ribosomal RNA", at positions 958 to 1398 of the family's 1533-position model. The record is from RNAcentral.
AACGCGAAGAACCUUACCAGCCCUUGACAUGGGACGUUUGCCACUCGGAGACGGGUGGCUUCAGUUCGGCUGGCGUCCACACAGGUGCUGCAUGGCUGUCGUCAGCUCGUGUCGUGAGAUGUUGGGUUAAGUCCCGCAACGAGCGCAACCCUCAUCUUCAGUUGCCAUCGGGUAAAGCUGGGCACUCUGAAGAAACCGCCGGUGACAAGCCGGAGGAAGGCGGGGAUGACGUCAAGUCCUCAUGGCCCUUAUGGGCUGGGCUACACACGUGCUACAAUGGCGGUGACAAUGGGAUGCGAUGGAGCGAUCCGGAGCCAAUCUCAAAAAGCCGUCUCAGUUCAGAUUGCACUCUGCAACUCGAGUGCAUGAAGGUGGAAUCGCUAGUAAUCGUGGAUCAGCAUGCCACGGUGAAUACGUUCCCGGGCCUUGUACACACCGCUAGUC